GCCCCUGGGGAGGAAUAAACACCAAGGUCAGUUAUGUUUGUCUUUUUUUUACUCAUGUGUUUGGGUGUUUUACCUGCAUGUAUUUCUGGGCACCACACACAUGCAGUGCCCACAGAAUUAAGAGGGUGUUAGGUCCCCCGCGACAGGCAUUCCAGACAGGCAUUGUGAGGCACCAAUAGGGUACGGGGAAUCAAACUUAGGUCCUCCGGAAGAGCAGCUUCUUUCUUUUCUUUCUUUCUUUCUUUCUUUCUUUCUUUCUUUCUUUCUUUCUUUCUUUUUUUUUUUCCGGAGCUGGGGACCAAACCCAGGGCCUUGCGCUUGCUAGGCAAGCGCUCUACCACUGAGCUAAAUCCCCAACCCCUGGAAGAGCAGCUUCUUAACCACUGAGCCAUUCCUCCAGUCAUGGAUCGCCAGUUCUGGACCAUCCAUGUUGGAAGUCAUUCACACAAUAGCAAAAAGUAGCAUUUUGCAUUUUUGGUGUGAUGUUUACCACUAAAUGGAUACAUAAUGCGAGGGAAGCUCUGUAUAACCCUCAUCUGUAUUAUCAACACCCUAUUCCUGUGGUUCUCUUUUUUGAUCUCCCAGCAGGAAGUUGCCUCUGAAUCCCACAAAACACAGUCAUAGUUUUUUCUCAAUACCUGUGUAUGAGCACAGCUAUCUAUGGCAAGAUGUACGUGUCAUUAUUUUUAUAUAAAUUUCCUUUCUUCCUUCCAUUCUAGCUCUGGGAAUGAGAUCCAGGUCUUGUACCUACUAGACAAACGCUGUAGUACUGAGCCACACCCCCGCCCCUAUUGGUAAGUACUUGGAUACUGUGUCUUCUCUGCUCCAGGCGCUUCUCUCUCCCUGUCCUCUCUCAUGUAGCCAUAAGGCGAUUUUACCAUGUUACUAUUAUCAUUGCAAAGACAAGAGAACCAAGCCCCUAAGAGGUAACUAGUCCAGGCUUGCAUAGCUAUCUAAAGAGCUGCUAGAGUCAAAAGCAGGAGUCCAGGGGGAAUGUGCUCUUAAGGACCACCUAGCCUGGGCUAACACAGUAUAUAUGUUCCAGGGGGAGCAGACCGGCAACUGCAACUAGAGACACCAGAAUGAAUGUGCUCCAGGACAGCUGAGCCCAGAAUUUAGGACUCUGAACCCUCUUAGCCUUAGUAUGAAGCUCUCCAUAUGAAGAGACUUAGUGUAGAGGAAGAAAAAGCAAUCCAAGAAUAGAAAGUCACAGAGAGCUCGGUGGUGGUGGUGGCAGCGCUCGCCCUUAAUCCCAGUCAGGUGGAUCGCUGAGUUUGAGGCCAGCCUGGUCUACAGAGUAAGUUCCAGGAUAGCCCAAGGAGCUGGGCCCAGCACAUUCUUGCAGUUCCUCUAUGCAGUAUGUAAGUAAGUAGUUCUUCAGACUGAGUCUCGGGUAGCCCAGGCUAGUCUCAAACUCAGUAGGUAGUUAAGGAUAUCCUUGAAAUGCUGAUACUCCUGCUUCUACCUCCCAUCACACCUGGUUUAUGCAGUGCUGGGGGAACCUAUCUUGUGCAUGCUGGGAAAGUACUCUGUCUAUGGGGCUCUAUCCCACACCCAGUACAUAUGUUUUAAAUAGAUCUCAUACUUACAUAGGGAAAACUGAGACGCUUUCCUGGAUACAGGAUACCUCUGGUCAGGCAGCAGGCCUACAGAAGAUGCCAUUUCUAGGAUUUAAAGGAAUAAUUGGGAGGAGGGAAGCCCAUUAGCAAAAGGCAAACUGAAGGCAUUUUGUGGGCUGAGGUUUUUACAAAGCCUACUUUAUUUAGGGUUUUUUAAAGCCUCAAUCUCCCUUCUAGCCCACCGACCAAAGUUUGGGGAGAAAGAUGGUUAGUAGGACAAGGGGAUUGUGGGCCUGUUUAGAAGUAGUUCGUUAGGAAAAUUUCAAUCUUCGUGGUCAGGAUAUUAGCAGUCCAGUCCAAGAGCAAAUACCAAGCAAUAGCAGCGGCUUGAUCCAGGAGAAAUCGUGAGGCUCUGUCCAAUCAAUCUGAGUCAGCAGAAGCGGCAAGAAGCCGCCAAAAUACAACAAGAAGCUUUUCGGGGCAUUUUUCUCUAUGGAGUCGCAAGCGAAGACCAGCAAAGCAUUGCACGGUGGAGCUAUGCAAGAGAGGCCUUUCACUGUCCGUAGGGCUCUACCUAUACUCUUUCUAAACAUCACUGGCCUUCUCAAGUGUCUGCCUCAGCAAAACAUCCUCUCACAAGGAAGCGUCCAAAAACAACAUCACAUAACUCAACUGAGUCUCCAUAGAAAUCAGAAAUGUCCACUUCAGUAUCCAACAGUCACACGAUGGGCACAGACCUGCAAUUCUUCCUCCUUGGCACAUUUCUGGGUGUCUGGGUUGUGCCAGACGUUCAGACCAAGAACAUAUAGCCCCGUGUCAUCAUUGUGGAACUUUUUUUUCAAACUGUUUUCCCCCACAAAACCCCAAACUCCUUGCUAGCAAGGAAGUUGUUCGUCUUUAUGUUCUAAACACUGGGGACCAUAGACAGAAAGUGUUUUAUGGAUAUUUAUUGCAUAAACAAAUACAGUUCUAGGAGAUUACAGCACCUUCUAGUCCAGAAUACUCACGACCCCCACAUCAGCACCACAAACCAUUGUUACAUAAUCCACGGAAUAUGAGCUGAUGUGAGGUUCACCUCCAGUCCUGGCACCUUCUGCACCCUCUCCAUGUUCAUAUUUAACUAUGCACCUUAGCAAGUGUAUCCUCUACACUGUAACGACCAUAGGACGACAGGAAAGAGAGAGGAGGAAAGCCCUACAGCAUGGCAAAGGUGGAAUCUUCUCCCGUCUUCUCUGUUCUUUUUUUUUUUUUUUUUUCUGGAGCUGGGAACCAAACCCAAGGCCUUGCACUUGCUAGGCAAAUGCUCUACCACUGAGCUAAAUCCCCAACCCCGUUCUUUUUUUGAUAUGCACAUGUAUGUGCAUUUUUGCUUCUGUGUGUGCACGCACAAAGGUGUGUGUGAAGGCCUGGUAUUGAUGUUGAAAAUCACCCUCGAUCACUCUUUCGCCUUAUUCAUUGAGACAGGCCUCUCAAUCAAACCCAGAGCUCAUCUAUAUGGGUAGUCUUCUAGGCAGCUUGCUCUGGGGAUCCCCUAUCUCUGCCUUCCUGUGGUGAUUCCCCUGCAGGCUUUACAACAAGCAAGGGAAAGCCGGUCAGGGUGAGAUUAGAAUGAAACUCGGCUCAGCCAAAUUUUAUUCUUACCAGCUUUAGGUCAGGUCCUCCAGAGCCUGGCCCAGAUCAUUCUACUUUAGCCAUAUGUGGUAGUUUGAAUAUGCUUGGCCCAGGGAGUGUCACUAUUAGGAGGUGUAGAUUGGUAGAAUAAGUCUCAUUUUGGGGGUGGGCUUUGAGAAUGUCUCCUAGCUGCCUGGAGGCCAAUCUUCUCCUAGCAGCCUUCAGAACAAGAUAUAGAACUCUCAACUCCUCCAGCACCAUGCCUGCCUGGAUACCAGCAUGCUUCCUGCCAUAGUGAUAAUGGACUGAACUUUUAAACCUGUAAGCCUGCAGCAAUUAAAUGUUGUCCUUGGGGUUGGGGAUUUAGCUCAGUGGUAGAGCGCUUGCCUAACAAGCGCAAGGCCCUGGGUUCGGUCCCCAGCUCCGAAAAAAAGGAAAAAAAAAACAAAAAAAUAAAAAAAAAUAAAUAAACCAAAUCAUUAAAAAAAAAAAUGUUGUCCUUGAUGGGCAUUACCUUGGAAAUGGUGUCUCUUCACAGCUGUGGGAACCCUAGCUAAGGCAUCUUAAAUAAGCAGAGCGCAAUUUUGGAAAAAAGGAUUCAGGUAACAAUGAACUCAGCCCCACGAGUUUAAGGCACGCUUCUAUCAGCACUCUUAGCAAAGCGCAAACGAGCACACGGCUCCUUCACAAGACCGGGUGCUGCUCACUCAGAGAGUACCCAAGGUUUACCGUCUAGAGAGACUGACAGAGGUAAGCAUCAUGCCUGUGCGAGUCAGGAUCCGCCUGUCUCCAAGACAACACGACGUCACUUAGGCUGCCAUGAAGCACAAAUAACAUUUCUCCUAAGGAUGGGUUUUAUGAUCUAAAAGCAAUGCUCAAGAUUUAGGCGAAACAGUCUGAGAAAUUCUGAAUGAUGGAGCAGAGACCAUCUCAGACAGAAAAGGUUAUAAAACUCCGUCCGUCAUUCCUGUCAUUCCAGAAAGAGCAGCUAUGCAUCGCAGUCCACUGAAGAGGGAAACCGUGUGUUUAUCUUUCCCGGCUUCUCCAGUGCUCAUCUGUCUGCACAAGGCCUUUUUGCCUUCUACACCUUCCCAAGCUGGAAUUUUGGGUGGGCCUCCUCAGCCACCUGGCAUUUAUGAGGGUUCAAGGGACCCAAGCUUCAGUUUUCACAUUUGGGCCACAAAUGCUUUAACCACUGAGCUGUCUCCCCCACCCCCCAAUUUGGACCUUGUGACAGCAAAAUAGGGCAAAGGUAAGGCUCAGGUUGAGUUGAAAGACUACCUAGGGUGAGAGCCAUGGUAACUCAGGGCAGAACAGGACAAGUGCCAAUCAGAAGCCAUUCUGUCUGUUCUUAGACAGGUCUUAAGUAAGCCAUACUGACCUUAAACUUACCAGAAAGGCAAAGCUGGCUUUAAAUCUAUUCUCCUGUCUCCACCUAGCACCAAGUGGUAGGAUCUCGAGUAUGCACUACUAUGCUUGAAUUAAAAGCCAGUCUCAAAAUUCAGGUCAGUUCUGAAACAACUCAAGUGUCCACCAGUGAAUAAAUGAUUAUUCAAAAUGCAGCAAAACACUUUAAAAAAAUAAAUUCUGAUACACACUACAACAUGAAUGGACCUGAAAAGGGUUCUUCUAAGUGAAAUAAAAUAGCCACAAAAAAGACAAACGCCGGGGUUUGAGGGUGUAACUCAAUGAUAGGUCAUAUCUCUGGCAUGCAUGAAGCCCUGGUUUUGAUCCCACAGAGCACACAUGCACACAUGCACACACACACACACGCACAGUAGAAUCCCAGUUCCCAGAGGGUAAAGGACCUGACGGGAAUAAAGAUUCAACUUUGCAGGUGAAAAGGUUCUCAAGAUCGGUCAUACAAAAAUGUAAGUAUAAUUAACUGUUGGCUCAGCUGCACUCAACAAUUGCUAACCAAGUAAAAGCAGUGUCUUAGUGAUAGAGACUCUUGCUAUGAUGAAACGCCAUAACCAAAAGCAAGUUGGAAAGGAAGGAGUUUAUUUGGCUUAUAGAUCCAUGUUGCUGUUCAUCAUCAAAAGAUGGAAGGAAGGAAAGAAGGGAGGAAGGAAGGAAAGAAGGGAGGAACAAAGGAGGAAAGGAAGGAUGGGAGGGAGGAAGGCAGGGAAGGAGGGAGGAAGGGAAGAAGGACAGGAGGGAGGGAGGGAGGGAGGGAGAUGCAGACAGAAAACCAAAUCUGAAUUCUGGAACAUAUACAACUGAGGCCCUUUAUUUCUCAAGCUAACUUCUGGAACAACUAAUAAACAUUAUUGAAGAGACCAUGCCUUUUCUAUUUAAACAGAACACCUUUUAAUGCAAAGUGGUGUUAUUUAAAUGCAGAAGGCAACUGGAGAGAGCAGCAAGGAGCACUUGGGACGCCCUGCAGUCUACCCUCAAUAGCACCAAGACAAAAAUCUAACUGAAUGUUAAAAAGCUAUAAUAAGAUACAUAUUCCUAAGUACAUAAAGCAGGAGCCAUGAGGAGUAGAGUUUUGAAGGCCAGGGCCAAUGUCUAAUGCCUGACAGGCAUCAUUACUGAAUUCUAAUGUAAGUCAAGAGAACAAGAGGGAAAAAUGGUCCCUUUGCACUGGUACUAUUUAGUGUAAAUACAUUCCCCAAAUACAAUAGAGAUGCUUUUUCCUCCCUGAGACAGGAUCUUACUAUGAACUCUAAGAACUCAUAGAGACCCACUUGCCUCUGCCUCUUGAGUUCUGGAAUUGAAGUUGUGUGCCCCUAAACUCAGGCAUAACUGUCUUUUUGAUAGGCUCUAUUGAGAAGUAGAGCUGGGUGUGGUCGCUCACACCUUUAAUUCCAGCACUCAAAAGCUUGCCGAGUUCAAGGCCAGCUUGGACUGUAGUCCAAUGUAGUCCAAUGUAUGGCAAACUCCAGGACAGGGAGGAAUACAAAGAGAAACCCUGUCCCAAAAACACAAAACAAACAAAGUUAAUUGUAUAGUUUCAUGCCCGUUUUCCUUUUUACUGCUAUCCCUCCCCCAACACCCUGACCCACACUCUUUCUGAGACAGGGUCCCUCUCAUGUACUCCAAGUUGGCCUUGAACUGAGGCUCCCACCUCCACCUCCCAAGGGCCGGGGUUGGAGGUAGGUACUGCUGUGCUUAGUUUCAUGCCUUGUUGAUAAAAACAUUUACUAACUAGGAGGUAAAAAGGAAGCUGAUGAGAUGGCUCAGUGGGUAAAAGUACUUGCCAUCAAGCUUGAUGAUCUCGGUUCAGCACCCACAUAUUAUGCUCCCCAAAUUAUCCUCCUACUCAUGCACACAGAUUGUGGCAAAUGUGUUCAGAAGAUCAUAGGCACGAAUACACACAUACACAAUGAAUAGUGAAUAAACAAACAAACACAUAAAGAAUUUUUUUCUUAAAAAGACAUAAAAUAAAAAGCAGUCAGGCAAGGUGGAAGAUACGGUGAAGUCCAGCUAUUCAGAAGGCAAGAGGAUCACAUAAGCCUAGGAGUUUGAGGUCAGCUUGGGCAACGUAAAGAAAUCUCAUCUCAGAAAUGAAAACAGGGUGGGUGGUGGGUGGGGGUGGGGCCUGGAGAGAUGGCUCGGUGGUUAAGAGCAGUGACUGCUCUUCCAGAGGUCUUGAGUUCAAUUCCCAGCAACCACAUGGUGGCUCACAACCAUCUGUAAUGGGAUCUGAUGCCCUCUUCUGGUGUGUCUGAAGACAGCUACAGAAUACUCACAUAAAUAAAUUAAAAAAUUUUUAAAGAAUGAAAACAGGGGCUGUAGAGAUGGCCCAGCAGUUAAGAGCACUUGUGGCUCAUGUUGAAGACCCUUGUUUGGACUCCAGCACCCAUAUAGUGGCUCACAACCAUCCCUAAGUGUAGUAGCAGGGGGAUCUGAGGCCCUCUCCAUUUUCUGACCUCUGAAGGCACUAAACAUACACGAAGUGUCUUAGAUAUACAUGCAGACAAAACACCCAUACACACAAAUAAAUCUAAAAGCAAUGAAAUCAGGAACCAGACAGAUGGUUCAAUGGGUAAAGGCACCUGUUGCUAACCCAACAGCCUGAGCUGGUUAGAGAAUCAAUUCCUGCAAGUUGUCUUGACUUCCCCCCCCCCCCACAGGCUCAGCACACACAUGACCACCACAACGUGUGAGUAAAUAUAAAAACAAAAAGCCCAAGUCAGCCUGUCUGCAAUCUCCUCGGGCCAAAACCAAAGGUAAGCCAUACCUAGGAUCAGGGUUCACACAUCUUAAAAAUAGGAGUUUUGCUUCACUUGGGGCCUAUGUCACAGAAAACACCUUGAGUUCAUAUCCCAAAGUGUACACAGCCACCGCCAUGGCUUGGCUCACUCCUACUCAGCUUAUACAAGCACAGUGAAAACAGCCAUGCAUCAGAUCCUUAGAAUGGAGGAAGAGCUGGGCAAAAAAGCCAAGUUUUCUGGCAGGCCCUUCAGGAACCCACUGGCCAAGUAAGGCAUGAACUGGAGAUCCCUGGGGCUACCAGAUCCUCUGUCCUUGGUGUUACCCAGGCUGCUCAAAGCCAGCCCAGUGAUUGCCCCUCCCGAUGCUACUGCUUCCUUAGAUGUCCACCCCUGACCACCUGGAGCCCUGCUGGAGCCCCCAGCUCUGUAAUCGUGUGAUCGAUCGGUCUGAAUCAUUGUUUCUGUCACCUGACUUCCCAGUUAGUGUCUGGGACCCUCAUAACUCCAGUGUAAUCCCUUGGGUGCCCACCGUCAAGACUCCCCCAGUGGUUUACAUGCAAAAAUAAAAGCCGCAGAAACCCCCAAAACCCCCGAAAUAAAAGAAAACAGCCAUGUUCUGAGUCCUGUCCCCAAAGAAUGAAGCAACUUUGCCAUUCCUGCCCAAAUGAAGAGGCAACUUCCGGUUUCCUUGGGUAGUUAUGUCAAAUGGUGUUUUGCUAAAGCAGAUACGUGAAAGGACAGAUGAUGUCUAGAAGGAAAAUAAAUAUAACCCAACAGACAGUGGACGACCCUGGAUGGUGUUGCUGUGCCUUACUCUUCACUGGUCUUCACUUCCUUGGGAGAGGCACAGCAGAGAACUUCUCCUGGCAUCCCUGCUGGCCCUGGUUGCCCCUGUUGACGCAUGCUGAUUCCUGUUUGCUAUCCUGACACCACUGAACUAGGCUGCUGGUAUCCUGACAGAUGGAUAUUGAAACUGCCCCAAGGAACAGCACCAAGCAGAACAUCAUGGUUUCUUCUGGAUCGACCUGCUGUUGCCAAAUCGUGACUGGUGUUCAUGAGCGCAUCCGACUACUACUGCUGACUCCGUGAACUGAACCGCUGAUACCCUGACAACACAGACUGGAUUUGCUCCAACAACUUUUCCUUUCCACCACCUCUGAAGCCGGUUAUCACUGUUAUUCAGACAUCGUCAGAGUAUUUCAGGUGGAUGAGUUAGAUGAAGAAAGCUAACUAAGAUAAAGUGGAACAUCUGUAGGGCUACGAUGACAACCCAGGCAAGAGACUGUCAUCGGCCUGGACUUGAGAAGUCUCAGAGGAGCUCAGGCAUGAGUAGAGCUGGAAGAUCUUCAGCUGGCCUUGGAGCUACAGUGCUCUGCUAGGCAGGUUAAGGCACAGGAAGUGUCAUGACUUCCAGGCUUUUGACUUGUGUGUUUGGAAGAAUGAGACCAAGACAGUGAUGGAGACUCCCCAGAGGAACUGCGCUGUAUUGGAGACAGCCAGAAGGAAACGUUGAGAAACGAAGUGGAAGCUUCUAGGUCUUUGGAAACUUAUGUCAAAUGAUUGUUUGCUGGGGCUCACAGGUGGAAGGAUGUCUUGCUAAAGCAAACAUGUGAGAGACUGUUGUCCUGAAGCAGACACAGGUGAAAGGACGCUUGACGAAGGAGUAUCAAUGUGGCCCCAUAGACAGUGGAGACAAGCACUGUAUGUUUGCCUUACAUAGCACUGCUGAGCUCAACUUGUGAUACACAGCCAUUGAGAGAAGCUCUCCCAAGAACUGUUUCCAAGGGCUGGAGAUGGCUCAGUGGUUAAGAGCACUGACUGCUCUUCCAGAGGGCCUGAGUUCAAUUCCCAGCAACCACAUGGUGGCUCACAACCAUCUGCAGUGGGAUCCAAUGCCCUCUUCUCAUGUGUCUGAAGUCAGCUACAGUGUACUCACGUGCAUACAAUAAAUAAAUAAAUAAAUAAAUAAAUAAAUAAAUAAAUAAAUAAAUAGUAGGUUGCAAAAACUGCAUACCUACAGAGAAACAGGAAAGGAGGGUCAGGAGUUCAUGGCCAGCUCUCAUUAUAUACUGAAUUCAAGGCCAGUCUGGGCUAGAGAUCCUACCACAUAAAACAAAAGCAAAUAAAGCAACUGGGGACUGAGCGUAGUGGAACUCGGGAGGAUUCAGGAGGCUGGUACAGGAGGACCAUGAGUUCCUGGUGAACAACAAAACUCCAUCUCAAAAGGAAGCGGGGUGCUUGCUGCACAAAUCCGAUGACCCGAGUUAGAUUCCUGGAACCCAGACUCCGGAAAGCUGGGCUCUGACCCCCACACACCCGACCCUGCACACACACCCUCUCAACACACAUACCCUCCCCUCUACACAAUCCCCCCGGCACACACAAACUCCCCUCCACACAAUAAUAAAAAUACUUUCUGCAAGGUCACUGAGUGAGGCUGGAGAGUUAGCUUGUCAGCUUGUUAGCUUGUCAGUGUUCUUGCACACGACCUGCGUUCAAUUCCCAGUACCCACAUGAUGGCUCGCGCCCAUCUAUAGCUUUGAUUCUAAGGGAUCCAUCGUCCUCUUUCCUCUGCCCUACUCAGACAUCGGGCAUGCACACGGUGCACACACAUAAAAGCAGACGAAACACCCAAAAACAUAAAAUAAGAUAAACACAUCUUUAAAAAGAUUUUUGGGGUUGGGGAUUUAGCUCAGUGGUAGAGCGCUUGCCUAGGAAGCGCAAGGCCCUGGGUUCGAUCCCCAGCUCCGAAAAAAAGAACCAAAAAUAAAUAAAUAAAUAAAUAAAUAAAUAAAGAUUUUUAAGGGACACUGAAGAUGAGGACUUUCAAACCUGUGGGAUUUACCUAGGUAUUGUUGGUGGAUUUAGAGAGUGAAUCAUGUAGAGUGGGAAGGAUGGAUCCCAGCCUACUUAAAGCUUCCAUUAACUCAAAGCCAGCCUGCCACUUUCCCAAUCACCCAUAUUUGGCAAUAAAGAGAAUAAGUAGUAAAGCCUGAGACCUGUUGCGUGUCGUCUCUCCCGGACAGCUCUAGCAGGAAGCUGUCUUUCACCCCAGCCCCUUCUCCCCUCCUGAACCUACCAUGUGCAGGAUGCCUAGAGCAUUGUCCAGUCCAGAUGCCAAGCUAGGUCUUUGCGUUUGAAGGCUCUUGACAAUGUCUACAAGCUGUCCCACCAGCUCAGUCAGCUCCUGGACAACUUGUGUAGUGCUUUUCUGUACUGUCACCUUUAAAAGAGCACAAUUGGGCUUCUGGUUCACAAAAAAAAUUGGACCCAGGAAUAUAGUUCCCCCAAUAGAAGAAGCUUUAAAUGCCAAGGAAGCAGACAGGUAGACCAAUGGAAAAAUAGCUGGAUAAAGUGAUGCCUUUCAUCCCAGCCCUGGGGGGCAGGGUUGGGGGAGAAAAUGCAAAUGCUACUCCAAGGGGCAAGGAGUCCUUUCAACAAACACCAUCAGGAAAAUGGCAUGAACAAAUAAAGUUAGAUUCUUCUGUUGGUUUGUUUUGCUUUUGAAACAGGGAGGGUCUCUCUACAAUGUCCUGACUGUCUUGGAACUCACUGUGUAGACCAGACGGGCCUGGGACUCACAGAGGUUUACCUGCCUCUGCCUUCAAAGUGCUGUGAUUAAAGGAACGUGAUGUGCUAAUGAAAGGGGUGAAUCCGCCUGAGCCAGGCUGACUCCAUGACAGGCUGCAAACUAGCAGUUCAGGAGACCAGGCCUGGGUUUCCACUUCCCAGAACUGUCAGUUCCCGGAACACCACAGACUUAUGUAAAAGAAACCCUUCCCCAGCUUACAAAAGGACAGUUAGCCAAGCUUGUGGCCAAGAGGUCUAGAGCUACCCCUCCAUGGCAUGAAGCAAGAAUAGUCAGUCAAAUGUAUAUAAGAAAUACUCAAGUUAAUAAAAAAAAAAAAAAAAGAAUAGUCAGUCAAGUAUGCUUGAAGCAAAACCCUAACCAAUGACAGCAUCACCCAGACCCCCCAGCGAUAGAACCGACCAAUCAGGAUACAGAUCACCUACCCCUCUCUAAUGUUCCUCUUUUUGGCUUUAAAACUGAAUCUGCAGAUUCGGUCAGGGUCCUUCCAUCCCAAUGGAAUUGGGUCCCUGCAUGCAGGAGUUCACUCAAUAGACACUCUGCUUUUGCAUACUAUUAGAAUCUAGGGCAUAUUUGUCAGCAAUUCAGACCCUAACACUAUCAUACCUUGCUUGAAGUUAGAGUCUUAUCCUAACACUAUACAGGAAAAUAAAUGAGGAGGCCGGGGACAGUGCAUGCCUCGAAGUGUGAAACUGAAGACAGGAACUGUAGAGGAAUUUUAAUCCAGGAACAUGGCUACUCUGGAGAGAAUUACAGACAUGCCCUUGGCACACACCUUUCAUCCCAAACAAUGAAGGUAAAAUUAGUUUGUAGAAGGAAGCAGCCAUGUUUGAAAAUUAUGUCUAACUGAGGGACAGACAAAGUGAUAAAUCAUAGACAAAAUAAGAUAUCCCCAACUCUGGGCUGGAGAGAUGGCUCAGUGGUUAAGAGCACUAAUUGCUCUUCCAGGGGUCCUGAGUUCAAAUCCCAGCAACCACAUGGUGGCUCACAACCAUCUGUAAUGGGAUCUGAUGUUCUCUUCUGGUGGGUACUUAUAUAUAACAAAUGAAUAAAUCUUUUAAAAAAAGAUAUGCCCAACUCUCAUGAGAAGGGACAGGAAAGAGUCAAACUUAGGAAAGGCAUAAGGGGGGGGGGAGAGAGAGAGAGAGAGAGAGAGAGAGAGAGAGAGAGAGAGAGAGAGAGAAGCGCUGGAGAGAUGGCUCAGUGGUUAAGAGCACUGACUGUUCUUCCAGAGGUCCUGAGUUCAAUUCCCAGCAAUCACAUGGUGACUCAUAACCAUCUGUAAUGGGAUCUGAUGCCCUCUUGUGUCUGAAGACAGUGACAACUACUUGUACAACUACUCAUACAACUAAAAUAAAUAUAACUUUGGGGUUGGGGAUUUAGCUCAGUGGUAGAGCGCUUGCCUAGCAAGCGCAAGGCCCUGGUUUCGGUCCCCAGCUCCGAAAAAAAGAAAAA
Molecule: non-coding RNA, 12374 nt
Organism: Rattus norvegicus (Norway rat)
Lineage: Eukaryota; Metazoa; Chordata; Mammalia; Rodentia; Muridae
Source: RefSeq, a predicted model, not a curated record